AGUCGAGGGGUAUGGUUCUUCGGAACCGAGACCGGCGCACGGGUGCGUAACGCGUAUGCAAUCUACCUUUUACAGAGGGAUAGCCCAGAGAAAUUUGGAUUAAUACCUCAUAGUAUAUAGACUCGGCAUCGAGAUUAUAUUAAAGUCACAACGGUAAAAGAUGAGCAUGCGUCCCAUUAGCUAGUUGGUAAGGUAACGGCUUACCAAGGCUACGAUGGGUAGGGGUCCUGAGAGGGAGAUCCCCCACACUGGUACUGAGACACGGACCAGACUCCUACGGGAGGCAGCAGUGAGGAAUAUUGGACAAUGGGCGCAAGCCUGAUCCAGCCAUGCCGCGUGCAGGAUGACGGUCCUAUGGAUUGUAAACUGCUUUUAUACGAGAAGAAACACUGAUUCGUGAAUCAGCUUGACGGUAUCGUAAGAAUAAGGAUCGGCUAACUCCGUGCCAGCAGCCGCGGUAAUACGGAGGAUCCAAGCGUUAUCCGGAAUCAUUGGGUUUAAAGGGUCCGUAGGCGGUUUAAUAAGUCAGUGGUGAAAGCCCAUCGCUCAACGGUGGAACGGCCAUUGAUACUGUUAAACUUGAAUUAUUAGGAAGUAACUAGAAUAUGUAGUGUAGCGGUGAAAUGCUUAGAGAUUACAUGGAAUACCAAUUGCGAAGGCAGGUUACUACUAAUGGAUUGACGCUGAUGG
RNAcentral lists this ribosomal RNA (690 nucleotides) under Flavobacterium sp. T93.09.P.BKT.AS.H.Gill.N. RNAcentral describes it as "bacterial SSU rRNA". It matches the Rfam family "Bacterial small subunit ribosomal RNA", at positions 60 to 752 of the family's 1533-position model. Lineage: Bacteria; Pseudomonadati; Bacteroidota; Flavobacteriia; Flavobacteriales; Flavobacteriaceae. The record is from RNAcentral.